ACUCAGUGAAAUUGAACUCGCUGUGAAGAUGCAGUGUACCCGCGGCAAGACGGAAAGACCCCGUGAACCUUUACUAUAGCUUGACACUGAACAUUGAGCCUUGAUGUGUAGGAUAGGUGGGAGGCUUUGAAGCGUGGACGCCAGUCUGCGUGGAGCCGACCUUGAAAUACCACCCUUUAAUGUUUGAUGUUCUAACGUGGACCCGUUACCCGGGUUGCGGACAGUGUCUGGUGGGUAGUUUGACUGGGGCGGUCUCCUCCUAAAGAGUAACGGAGGAGCACGAAGGUUGGCUAAUCCUGGUCGGACAUCAGGAGGUUAGUGCAAUGGCAUAAGCCAGCUUGACUGCGAGCGUGACGGCGCGAGCAGGUGCGAAAGCAGGUCAUAGUGAUCCGGUGGUUCUGAAUGGAAGGGCCAUCGCUCAACGGAUAAAAGGUACUCCGGGGAUAACAGGCUGAUACCGCCCAAGAGUUCAUAUCGACGGCGGUGUUUGGCACCUCGAUGUCGGCUCAUCACAUCCUGGGGCUGAAGUAGGUCCCAAGGGUAUGGCUGUUCGCCAUUUAAAGUGGUACGCGAGCUGGGUUUAGAACGUCGUGAGACAGUUCGGUCCCUAUCUGCCGUGGGCGCUGGAGAACUGAGGGGGGCUGCUCCUAGUACGAGAGGACCGGAGUGGACGCAUCACUGGUGUUCGGGUUGUCAUGCCAAUGGCACUGCCCGGUAGCUAAAUGCGGAAGAGAUAAGUGCUGAAAGCAUCUAAGCACGAAACUUGCCCCGAGAUGAGUUCUCCCUGAGACUUAGAGUCUCCUGAAGGAACGUUGAAGACGACGACGUUGAUAGGCCGGGUGUGUAAGCGCAGCGAUGCGUUGAGCUAACCGGUACUAAUGAACCGUGAGGCUUAACCUU
This 900-nucleotide ribosomal RNA is filed under the name Salmonella enterica. RNAcentral's name for it is "partial 23S ribosomal RNA". It matches the Rfam family "Bacterial large subunit ribosomal RNA", at positions 2031 to 2925 of the family's 2925-position model. Lineage: Bacteria; Pseudomonadati; Pseudomonadota; Gammaproteobacteria; Enterobacterales; Enterobacteriaceae. The record is from RNAcentral.